AAGUCGUAACAAGGUUUCCGUAGGUGAACCUGCGGAAGGAUCAUUAACACUACUUUCUAUCUUAUAAACAUCCGAGAACCGUUGAGAGUGCCACCCGGCUGAGAUCGCUAGGCAAUGGUAUGGAUUCCGAGAGUCUGCCACAACGGACCGACGGAUUGGCCUGCGGUUACGAACACGCGUCUGCUGCUCACUUCUCAUUCGUGGGAAGCGAUGCCGGGCGCGUGAGUCCAACUCUGACCCGAUGGCCUAAUUACAGCCUCUUACCAUGGCUGGCCCUUUUUUUUCUUUAACCUGAACAACGUACUGAUUUCUAGUCUUGGAUUCUGAGAGCCUCACGGCUUUCUCUGGGGCUAAACCUUCUGAGCUCUCUUCGGAGGCUCUGAAACAAACACAACUCUUAACAGCGGAUAUCUCGGUUCUC
Molecule: unclassified non-coding RNA, 421 nt
Filed under: fungal sp.
Lineage: Eukaryota; Fungi
Description: partial internal transcribed spacer region
Rfam family: Eukaryotic small subunit ribosomal RNA (bases 1-46)
Source: RNAcentral